ACAGAAUGAACUUUACAAGGAAGUUAGAAGAUUACACACAGAGAAGGAAUAUCUAUAAGAAACAUACAACAUUCCAACAUUAUAUUUUUAUUUAAUAUUUUUAAAAAGUGACUAUAGAUUUUUAUUUUUUGUGGAAGACUUCAGUGAGACUUAAAAAAGCACUAUCCCCUAUGGCAAAAUGUAGACUGGUUGAAAUGCAAGAUAAAGAGUGGUGGCAGAGAACAAUCAUCAUCUUUGAGAAAGGAUUAUUACAGAUGACAAUGUGGCUUGCACUAGACAAUCAGCUGGUUUCAUAGCCACAACAUCCAACUACCCGGAAAAUGGUUUUUCAGCAUCUCAACAUCAGAUUCUAAAACAUGAUAGCCAUUUUCACUCCUCAGAAAAUCUCAUUCAAUCAAUGAAAAAUCAUAGAAAUUAGUUCCACCUAUAUUGUUGCUGAAGAUUGAUUUUCUUACUAUAUAUCCAGGUUCCAAGUUUUGCGGAUUUCUCCAGUUUCUAGAGUCUAAUAGAAUGGUGCAGUGUAUCUUCUACAGCAACUGGAAAACUGAUUCAGCUGAAAAAUCCCAAUCUACCCUGUGAAUCUGGAGAAACUAUGAGAAAACCAGAAUCAAAUGGCCCACUUCUCCCCUCCAGAAUUUAAUGCAUUUACCUAAAAAUCUCAGACAUAUUGAGCACAGAGUGCUUCAAAUGAAAUAGAACAAGAUAUUUCUUUUCAUUGACUCUUCCUGUAGGUUCUUAUGGAUUUUAGCAAACUGAAAAUUUACCAAGUUGUAAACAUUAUAUUUUUUUAAUAUCAAAUCAUUGAAAAUAGAAAAACAUGUUGCCAUUAUUUAAAAUGAAACAAAUAGCAAUACAUUUGUGAAAAAUUAAGAAUACAUUUGAAUUCCAGACUGCUGUCCUGUUUCUAUAAAUCCAUGGGAUUAUACAGAUUGUAUAAAUUGUAGUUGUCCAGAUUUCAGAUACAUCUUUUUUGGAUAAUCUGUAUAUCACCAUGAAAUAUGCCUGAAAUGGAAUCAAAUGAGAUUAUAUACUUUAUUCCCUGGCCAUUUUAAGCCAUGUCUCCCUUCAGCACAUCUAUAUCCCAAGUAGUGAAUCUUAAACUUUUAAAAGCUUCAGAAUUUAAUUUAAAUCAUUGGCAUUUUGGAACAUAAAUCUGGUUUUGCUAGUUUUGCUAGUUCUGUAUAAUCAUCAGAACUGUGAUGAAAGUCAAACUGGCUUAGAAAUUGCAGAGUUGUCUAACUCUUUUAUGGGUCAAAAGAGGGCUUGUAACUGCAAAGCUAGAAGCAAAAGAACUUGUCCCUAAAUGGAACAAAAUUAUUAUUUCAUGAAGCUCACAAAUAGUUUUUUUUUUUUUUUUGAAGUUCACAUAUAAACUGAUCUAAUUUUAAUGUUAUAACAUGCUAUUCUUGCAUAUUUGUUUAGAAGCUCUGGAACUUGUAAUUCAGGGUUUGUUUUACUAUUACAGUUUAUAAGAACUUCUUGAUGGAUUAAAAUAGAUAGCUAAGUAAACUCAGAUACGUAAAAUGCAAACUUGAAUUUUCAAGCAGUUACUUAACAUCCUGGAAUCAGAUCAGCAAAGUAGACAUUUCCGUCAUACCCAUUGUUAAAAAUACAACUCCAUGAAAGUUGAAAUAUAAUAAAAGUGCCCUAUGCUUGAAGGCUCUGCUCCAAGUAAGUACAUGAGUCUACUUUAUCCCCGUGUAUAUUUUGGAAAAAUGACUGCUAUAUAGAGAUCUAUUUCAGGGGUGAAAUGCUCCCAGAUCGGACUGGAUCAGUAGCGAUCCGGUAGCGAUCUUGCUGGUGGUUCGGUGAACUGGUAGUGACGGCAGAGCAUAGCUCCGCCCCCCCUGGCGGAGUCAUUACUUCCUGGCUUUAACUAGGAAGUAAUGUGCUUUUU
Pantherophis guttatus is the source of this 1897-nucleotide long non-coding RNA. RefSeq lists it as uncharacterized. NCBI's taxonomy places the organism in Eukaryota, Metazoa, Chordata, Lepidosauria, Squamata, Colubridae. The record is from RefSeq and is a predicted model, not a curated record.